Molecule: ribosomal RNA, 1865 nt
Filed under: Corynebacterium striatum
Lineage: Bacteria; Bacillati; Actinomycetota; Actinomycetes; Mycobacteriales; Corynebacteriaceae
Description: partial 23S ribosomal RNA
Rfam family: Bacterial large subunit ribosomal RNA
Source: RNAcentral
UGUUCGUUAUUUAGGGCGCAUGGUGGAUGCCUUGGCAUGCUGAGCCGAUGAAGGACGUGAAAGGCUGCGUUAAGCCUCGGGGAGUUGUCAAUUGAGCGUUGAUCCGAGGAUGUCCGAAUGGGGAAACCUGGCACCUGUUAUGGGGUGUUACCCUUCAGUGAAUUCAUAGCUGUUGUGGGGGUUACGCGGGGAAGUGAAACAUCUCAGUACCCGUAGGAAGAGAAAAUAAUAAUGAUUCUGCUAGUAGUGGCGAACGAACGUGGAUGAGGCUAAACCGUGUGCAUGUGAUACCUGGUAGGGGUUGUGUGUGCGGUGUUGUGGGCCCUGAUGAGGAUGGCUACUGACGUCCUGCCCGCGCAUUGUUGUUAGGUGAAGUGGUGUGGAAACGCCUGCCGUAGAAGGUGAUAGUCCUGUAGCUGAAGAUGAUGGUGUGUGGGUUGUUGGGUUGCCCGAGUAGCAGCGGGCUCGUGGAAUCUGCUGUGAAUCUGCCGGGACCACCCGGUAAGCCUAAAUACUCAGUGUGACCGAUAGUGGAUAGUACCGUGAGGGAAUGGUGAAAAGUACCCCGGGAGGGGAGUGAAAUAGUUCCUGAAACCAUGUGCUUACAAUCCGUCAGAGCACUUUUUGUGUGUGAUGGCGUGCCUUUUGAAGAAUGAGCCUGCGAGUCAGCGGCAUGUCGCGAGGUUAACCCGUGUGGGGUAGCCGUAGGGAAACCGAAUCCUAAUGGGGUGUCAAGUGGCAUGUCCUGGACCCGAAGCGGGGUGAUCUACCCAUGGCCAGUGUGAAGCAGCAGUAAGAUGCUGUGGAGGCGCGAACCCACGUAGGUUGAAAACUGCGGGGAUGAGCUGUGGGUAGGGGUGAAAGGCCAAUCAAACUCCGUGAUAGCUGGUUCUCCCCGAAAUGCAUUUAGGUGCAGCGUCGCAUUAGCUUGGUGGAGGUAGAGCUACUGGUUGGUUGAGCGGGACUACAAUCUUAGCAAUGUCAGCCAAACUCCGAAUGCCAUUAAUGUGUUGUGCGGCAGUGAGACUGUGGGGGAUAAGCUUCAUAGUCGAGAGGGAAACAGCCCAGAUCGCCGGUUAAGGCCCCUAAGGGUGUGCUAAGUGGAAAAGGAUGUGGGAUCGCGAAGACAGCCAGGAGGUUGGCUUAGAAGCAGCCAUCCUUGAAAGAGUGCGUAAUAGCUCACUGGUCGAGUGGUUCUGCGCCGACAAUGUAGUGGGGCUCAAGCACACCGCCGAAGCCGCGGCAAUAAUAUUUUGUUAUUGGGUAGGGGAGCGUCGUGCACGUGUUGAAGCGUUACCGUGAGGAGGCGUGGAGUGUGUGCGAGUGAGAAUGCAGGCAUGAGUAACGAAUUGGAAGGUGAGAAUCCUUCCCGCCGGAUGACUAAGGGUUCCUGGGUCAAGUUCGUCUUCCCAGGGUGAGUCGGGACCUAAGGCGAGGCCGACAGGCGUAGUCGAUGGAUAACCAGUUGAUAUUCUGGUACCCGGGUAUAUGCGCCCCUGAUAAAGCACUGAUACUAACCACCGUAAGCUGUUGUGAUUGGCCUUCGGGUUAACAUGGUGGCAAGCCGUGGGGCCUGAUGUGUGGUUCAAGCGAUGGGGUGACACAGUGGGGUAGCCAUGCCGCUUAGUGGAUUGUUGGUGUAAGCGUGUAGGUGAUGGUGUAGGUAAAUCCGCACUUGUUAGCUGAGACGUGAUGCGUAGCCUUAAUUGGUGAAGUUGGUGAUCCCGUGCUGUCGAGAAAAGCCUCUAGCGAUGUAUAUACUCGGCCCGUACCCCAAACCGACACAGGUAGUCAGGUUGAAAAUACUAAGGCGUUCGGGUGAACUGUGGUUAAGGAACUCGGCAAAAUGCCCCCGUAACUUCGGG